This is a non-coding RNA of Nicotiana tabacum (common tobacco), 2080 nucleotides long. The record is from RefSeq and is a predicted model, not a curated record. NCBI's taxonomy places the organism in Eukaryota, Viridiplantae, Streptophyta, Magnoliopsida, Solanales, Solanaceae.
ACUUUACUCACCAUUGAUAUUGCGAUAAAUGGUUAGUUUCAACUACCAAUAACAGCUUUAAAGCCUAAAACAAGUAAACAACCACGCACCAAAACAAAAAUUCCUAUUAAUAAAACUUAAAAACUACUUACUUCAAUGGCGACUCCUCCCUAUAGCCUGGCAUUGAUCAUCAAAAACCCUUCAAAUGAAUCCGAAUUCCUACUUGUUAAACAAAACCCACCUCCUAAAUUCAACGAUCCUGAGUAUGACUCUUUCUUGGAUUCCCCUCUCUGGGAUUUGCCUUCUGCACAGUUAUUACCUCUUGAUUCUCCUUCUGAUAAUCAGAUUGUAAUUCAAGUCCCUGAAUCUUGUUCUCAUGAGCUUGACUUAACUAAAUUUGAUCUUAAUUCAGCUCUCCUUAAGGUUCUAAAGCAAGUGGAAUUAGAGGAUACCACAGUUGAGUGGAAGUUCCUGAAGUAUGUACAGGAGCCUGAAUUUGGACCAGGAUUGCCCGUAAAGACAGUCUACAUCACUGGAACUUUGGGUCCUAAAGAUGGCAAAUUGACGGAUGUUGAGUUCCGCAAGUGGAUGAGCACCGAUAAAUGCGUUAGUAUGCUUGUUGAAGUGAAGCCUUGUAGUGACCGUGUAGGAUCAUUGGUGGUUGUUGGUCUUCUGAAUGAUUCAAAGAAAUCUGAUGAGACUUGGAAAGUUCCACAGACCUUGCGGUUUCAGGAGUACCCUCCUGGUGUUAAAGUUAUACCUAUGGAAAGUAGAACAGCUAAGCCUUUUCGCACAACAAACUUAAUUGUUUUCCUGCCUGGAGGCAAUGAUAGUGGUUGCGAUGAUAGUUUUGUUGCCCAUGGGGAAGCACUCAUAGUAGACCCCGGAUGCAAGUCUGCUUCAUAUGAACAGCUCAAGGAAAUCAUUGCUGCUUUGCCGAGAAAGUUAGUCGUCUUUGUGACACAUCAUCAUAACGAUCAUGUUGAUGGUCUUUCAGUAGUGCAGAAGUGCAGUCCUGAUGCUUGUCUUUUGGCUCAUGAAAAUACGAUUCAUCGAAUUAGAAAAGAUGAUUGGUCUCUCCCGUGUGUUCCAGUUUCUGGAUCUGAGGAAAUUUGCAUUGGCAGUCAGAGAUUAAGAGUUAUCUUUGCACCGGGGCAUACAGAUGGACAUAUGGGACUGCUUCAUGUUAGUACAAACUCGUUGAUUGUCGGGGAUCAUUGUGUGGGCCAAGGAAGUGCUCUUUUAGAUAUUGCGUCCGGUGGAAAUAUGAGGGAUUACUUUGAGACAACAUACAAAUUCAUUGAGCUCUCUCCUCAUGCUUUGAUUCCAAUGCAUGGAAGAAUUAAUAUGUGGCCAAAACACAUGCUCUGUGGGUAUCUCAAAAACCGGAGAUACAGAGAAUCAACCAUCUUAAAGGCCAUAGAGAAUGGCGCCAAAACGUUGUUUGAUAUAGUUGCUUACACUUAUGCCGAAGUUGACCGAAGCCUCUGGUUUUAUGCCUCAUCAAAUGUGAGACUCCACGUGGAUCAUCUAGCACUGCAGGACAAGUUACCAAAUGAUUUUUCGAUCCAAAAUUUUCAAGCAACUUGUGGUUUGCGUUUCCUUUUAAGGUGGCUAUUCGAAUACUCAAGUAGUGCAUUCUCAAUAAAGCAUCACACGAUUAGAGCGGCUUUACUAGUUGGUACUGUGGCCGUGGCCACCGGUUGCUUGGCUGUAUCAUUCUCCACAAAGAAACAAACUUUUUCUAGGUGAUGCAAAGAAUUCUUUCUCCAGAAAGCAGAGUUUAUUAAGGAAGUUAAUACCGGCUGGCUCCAGGUCAUCCUCUCUCUCAAUGUACCAGUAGUUCUAAGAGAAGGGUGCCUGCUAUUUCAUCGACGAGUGCAUUUUUCAUUAGCGGUGCCUAUUGUUUCAUGGAUGGUGAGCAUCAAGCGCACUAAUUAUAUAUAGUAUCUUCCUUCUCUUUUCACUUUUUAGGAUCAAUGCAUAUUCCUGAUGUAAUUCUGCACAUUAAGUUGUUCAGCUCCUUUCUUUGCAACUUUUAUUAACCAUUUCAUGUGGCUUGCUACAAUAUUUGUCAUUUUAAUCACAGAGGAUUUUUGCA